This 123-nucleotide small RNA is filed under the name Marmota monax (woodchuck). The record is from RNAcentral. Lineage: Eukaryota; Metazoa; Chordata; Mammalia; Rodentia; Sciuridae.
ACUGGGCAUGGUGGUGCAUGCCUGUAAUCCCAGUGGCUUGGGAGGCUGAGACAGGAGGAUUGUGAGUUCAAAACUAGCCUCAGCAACUUAGGCCCUAAGCAACUCAAUAAGACCCUGUCUCUA